GACGAACGCUGGCGGCGUGCUUAACACAUGCAAGUCGAGCGGUAAGGCCCUUUCGGGGGUACACGAGCGGCGAACGGGUGAGUAACACGUGGGUGACCUGCCCUCAGCUCUGGGAUAAGCCUGGGAAACCGGGUCUAAUACUGGAUAUGACUCCAUGACGCAUGUUGUGGGGUGGAAAGCCUUGUGCGGCUGAGGAUGGGCCCGCGGCCUAUCAGCUUGUUGGGGGGUGAUGGCCUACCAAGGCGACGACGGGUAGCCGGCCUGAGAGGGCGACCGGCCACACUGGGACUGAGACACGGCCCAGACUCCUACGGGAGGCAGCAGUGGGGAAUCUUGCGCAAUGGGCGGAAGCCUGACGCAGCGACGCCGCGUGGGGAUGACGGCCUGGUGU
RNAcentral lists this ribosomal RNA (391 nucleotides) under uncultured bacterium. RNAcentral describes it as "bacterial SSU rRNA". It matches the Rfam family "Bacterial small subunit ribosomal RNA", at positions 28 to 422 of the family's 1533-position model. The record is from RNAcentral.